Molecule: long non-coding RNA, 395 nt
Organism: Mustela lutreola (European mink)
Lineage: Eukaryota; Metazoa; Chordata; Mammalia; Carnivora; Mustelidae
Exons: 3
Source: RefSeq, a predicted model, not a curated record
AGAGGCAGAGGUUGGAGUGAUGUGUCUCUAAGCCAAGGAAAGCCAAAGAUGCUGGCAACAUCAGAAGUUAGAGCCUUCAGAGGAAGCAGGAAGUUGCAGACAUCUUGAUUUCUGACUUCUGGUCUCCAGAACUAUAAUAGAAUCUUCUAGCAGCUGAGGCCCAUUUCAUCUAUGCAUCGCACCACUUAUUCCUAUGAGAACCAGUUACUUGGAAUACUGUAGCAACUAUGUAAAUUCUUAGGUCUCCUCAUAAACCCAAACACCAACAGAAGCAUUGAUAAUAUCCAUGACUGACAAGAAUAUUUAAAGAUUUCAGGUGGGCUCCACACCCAACAUGGGGCUUGAACUCACAACCCUGAGAGGAAGAAUUGCAUAUUCUACCAACCGAGCCAGCC